This 720-nucleotide long non-coding RNA is filed under the name Arachis ipaensis. Its description in RNAcentral is "long non-coding RNA (AIPA_LNC000159)". Lineage: Eukaryota; Viridiplantae; Streptophyta; Magnoliopsida; Fabales; Fabaceae. The record is from RNAcentral.
UAUUAUCAAAUUAAAAGAAAAGUAUUAUAAACAAACAAGUCAAUAUAAUUCAAAACACAAACAAAUUGAUACAUCAACUAUAAUUCAAAACAAAUACCAUUGAAAAAAAGAAAAUAUGUAAAAUCUGUACCGUGACAUACACUAAUGGUGUAAAAAACAAUCUGCUCUUGUAGCUAACCACUAUCAGAAUUGCCUAAAUAUAAACAUAAACCUAGUCUAAAAUUAAGGCCAAACUGAGUUAAAGUUGUUCAAUUCUUCUAAGAUCCAUUCAAUGUUUUCUCUUUCUCCUGGCGACUUGUUCAAUUCUUCUAAGAUCCAAACUGCAUAAGCCAAACAAUUUUCAAUUAAAAAUCAUAAUCCAUUUGUAGGAGAUCAGAUAAACAUAUUAUAAAAAGAGAAAUAGGUUCAAAUUUUGAAAGUCAAAUAAUUUCCAAGACAAUUGCAGUUCACAAUAAUUCAACCUAUGUAAAAACAGUGUUAUAACUAAAGCAGUAAAGUACCACAAAUAAAACAAUUAAAAAAAUGAAUAAACAUAUUACCAAUAAAUUCUUACACAUUGUGCAAUAACUGUGACAUGUUCCAUUUGUAGUUCUCUUACAAUGCAUGUCUGUGCUAAAUGAUAUUUACUAGAUUAGACAAGGGUAUUAAGUUUAGUAAUCAUGAUUUGGAAUUAAGGAGCUAUAGACAUUACCUAAUGGAUAAAACGAAUCGGUUAGAUUA